Molecule: unclassified non-coding RNA, 257 nt
Filed under: uncultured fungus
Lineage: Eukaryota; Fungi
Description: sequence contains ITS1, 5.8S rRNA gene
Rfam family: 5.8S ribosomal RNA (bases 209-257)
Source: RNAcentral
UUUCCGUAGGUGAACCUGCGGAAGGAUCAUUACCGAGUGCGGACCUCCGGGUCCAACCUCCCACCCGUGUGUACCGUACCGCGUUGCUUCGGCGGGCCCGCCCACCGCGGCCGCCGGGGGGCAUCCGCCCCGCGGCCCGCGCCCGCCGAGGACCCCCGGGAACUCGUGUCUGAAGAGUGCCGUCUGAGCGAGAAGCGAAAUCAGUCAAAACUUUCAACAACGGAUCUCUUGGUUCCGGCAUCGAUGAAGAACGCAGC